RNAcentral lists this transfer RNA (88 nucleotides) under Bacteriovoracaceae bacterium. RNAcentral describes it as "tRNA-Ser". It matches the Rfam family "tRNA". From Rfam's summary of the family: Transfer RNA (tRNA) molecules are approximately 80 nucleotides in length. Their secondary structure includes four short double-helical elements and three loops (D, anti-codon, and T loops). The record is from RNAcentral. Lineage: Bacteria; Pseudomonadati; Bdellovibrionota; Bacteriovoracia; Bacteriovoracales; Bacteriovoracaceae.
GGAGAAUUGACCGAGCGGUUUAAGGUGCACGCUUGGAAAGCGUGUAUACCGAAAGGUAUCGAGGGUUCGAAUCCCUUGUUCUCCGCCA